UUGCUUUGGCAGCACAUAUACUGAAAUUGGAAUGACAUAGAGAAGAUUAGCAUGGUCCCUGC
Molecule: small nuclear RNA, 62 nt
Organism: Macaca nemestrina (pig-tailed macaque)
Lineage: Eukaryota; Metazoa; Chordata; Mammalia; Primates; Cercopithecidae
Source: Ensembl